AUUUCUCUGUGUUGCAGGAAAAGCAGGAUUUGUUGAUUCCACUUCCCUUGGUUGGAAAGCUGAGCAGCAGGGCUGAAAGCAAACAUGUCCAUGGAUUUUUUGACUAUUAUUUUUUUAAAGCUUUUUAAAUGGGGAUAUUUUCUUACUAAGCUUUCAAUUUAGACUGAGUCAUACUAGCUGUUACAGGAGGGAUUCCUCUCUGGAUUCCAUACAAGGCACACAUUAUCUAUUUACAUUUGGAUCAGUUGCAGGAAGAGAUUAUCAAAUUCAUUUCAUUAACUUUAAACCACUCUCCCAAACUCCAAAUUAGUGCCGAUUUACAAGUAACGUUCUGGGCUCUGUACAGAAGAAUAAUAAGGCUAUUAUUCCUGGAGGGAAAAUGAUCUGUUGAUUUAGCACACGAUAUUCUUAUUAAAGGAAAACCCAGAAAUAAAACUGAGCUUGUGCUGACAUGAAAUGGGUCAAAUACUUUCAAAGUUCUGGGUGUGUUCCUUUUUUUGUGCUAUAGCAAUACACAGAAACAAAUAUGGAGUCAACAAAAAAUGCCUCUAACAGGGCUCGGCUUCCCAUCUAGAAAAGUUACAUGUAAAACUAUGAACUAUUAACCUAGGAUAAUCACAGUCUGCUAAUCUGCAAUGGACCAGAGAGUACUGAGUAAACAGAAUACUAACUGCUUUUGCAGAGGUUACAGUGCAAAGAUUGUGAAUAUAGGAAGCCAACAGCAGACGUGAAGUUCACAGUAUUUCACAAGAGGUGCCUAUAAAGAGAGGAGGUAUCUGGAAUGGGUGUAAGAGACAUCAGGGCUUAAAGACUCUUGUCUGAAUGAACUUUCAGCUCCAAGUUUCAGAGGGCUGUGUUUACUCCUUCUGGAACUUCUGGAACUGGACUAAGCCACUUCUGGUGAGCUACAGCAGCACACGAGAACGCCGUUUACCUUCCCGCUGCAGCGGUACCUAUUUAUCUACUUGCACUUUGACGUGCUUUUGAACUGCUAGGUUGGCAGAAGCAGGGACCGAGCAACAGGAGCUCACCCCGUCACGGGGAUUCAAACCGCCGAUCUUCUGAUCAGUAAGUCCUAGGCUCUGUGGUUUAACCCACAGCGCCACCCGCGUCCCGUUCACUAGGUACUCCUCUGUUAAUACAUAGGAUCUCUCUCCACCAACAACGUACCCCAUCACUCAUAAUAACUGGCAUUUUGCUAGCAAAUUAAAUAAAAGACACUACUGUGCCAGGAGGGAUUAUGAGAGAGCCAAGAAAUUUUGUACCCAGAAAGGGAGCGGAGGGAGUGAAUCUUCCCAAACAAAUGUGUUUGAAAGGACUCCAAGUCACACAUUCCAGGGGCAUAAGGAAGCUUCCUUUAAUUAUGAUGGAUUUAUGCAUUUCAGGAGAUCAACAUAUGAUGUCACAUGCUCAAUUCCUUUUUGAUUCUGCAGCUCUGCUUUUAGGUUUCAAUAUGUAUCUUCCAUGUGGUAAGUCCAUUAUAUAUAGGGUCUACAACCAAGACACUGUGCUAGUUGUCAGCAAGAAUUUUACAUUUCCCCAGCUGCGAGUGUGUUAUGUUUGCCUGAAGCUCAGAGGAUGUUCCAAUCACUCUGAACCACUCCAGCCUCCUUGGCUGGCUAUAGAAGCACCUUAUCUGCAGAAUUAAAAAGUCCUACUUCUUGCAUGGCUUUUGUUACCACCUGCAUCUCUAAGCUGCCUGCUUCAGCUACCAGCUUAUACUUUCUUUUUGUUCUUUUAUUUGGGGGGGAGGGAGAUCAAUUGCCAAAAUGACUAGAUUUGACAAAUCCAAUAUUUACAAAAGAGGCUGCAGCUUAUGAAAGAUGUACAUGAUUCUUAUCAUGUGUUAUGCCCAGUCCUGAUGCAGAGCAUGUUUCCAAGUCCUUGGGUGACAAACCAGACCCGCCACUGAUCAAAGACAUGAGGGAGCAGGUGGGGUCUUCUUGGUGCUAGCCCCAAAGGCUCAGAGAUUCUGCAAGAAACCUUCAGAGGAAUCUCUUUAGGAGCCUUCAGGAUCCGAUCCAAUACAAUUGCCAGCAGAAGAGCCUCUGGUGGAGUCAGAGGGAGAGAUUGGGCCACCCUCCAUUCCUCAAGAGUGCAAGCAUCUAAAGGUCCAUGCCUGGGUCAUGCCUGAAGAUCUAAAAUUGGUGUGACUCUGGGGUAAAGAACUUCUUAUGAAUAAGGGGCUCUCCAUGCAACCUCAAAUAUCCAACAGCUUAAGUCAAUUCAACUUGCAUCUUCAAAAUAUUUGGAGGGGGGGAGUUUUGGUUUCAUCAGAAGCUUUUGUGGUGGUGUAAAAAAGUAUGAAAACAAUUCACUUUGAAAGAUGUUGCAGUGGAGGAUACAAACAAAUAUCAUGUAGGGCAGGGGUGUCCAACAGCUCAAUCGUGAUCUACUGGUAGAUCCCCGGGAGGUUUUGGUAGAUCGCGGUCGAUCACUGGCUCCCUUUCCAUAGCGGUGGUAAAAUAGAAUCCGGCCCCGUCCCCUUGUUCUGUCCUCCAUUGUUGCAUGAUCUCCAGAACAGAAGAUGGAGUUUUCACAGUGAGGCUGAUUGUUUGAUAGCGGCUUUUUGGUGAGCGACUCUUCCCCUUUCCUCCCCCCCAAAAAAUUACUUAGUCCUGAACCCCCCCCCCAAAAAAGGGGUAGAUCACUGCCAGUUUUUUAUUGUAUGAGUAGAUUGCAGUCUCUUAGGAGCUGGCCGUCCCUGAUGUAGGGUGAUGAUAAUUAUCAUCAUUAAGCUUUGAAGACCUGGUUUCCAAAUCAGUAUUUUACAAAAUAUGCAAAUGACUAGACGUCCAUGAUGGUGCUGUGAUUGCAACAAGGCCUUGAAUUUCCUUGAAUUCAUUUCCCUCCACUGUGAAUGGCUGAAGUGUCCAUCAUUUACCAGGUUAAAACAGAGCAACUUUACUGGCUCUGUCAGCAACCUGCUUACAAUAGGGGCUGUGCUACGUAUACCAAACACAUCAUAUACUGCUUAUAUUAAUGCCACGUUAGGGUAACCUGACACUGAAACACACAGUAAAUAACAUAUCUAUAUUUUAUAAAUGCAUGUUGAAGAAGAUCAGUCACGCCUGCCUUGUCAAGACUCUGACUUCCAAAAAUGCAGAAUUUAAGUUUUGUCAUGCAUGGUAUUUAUUUUAUUUUGCCAAAUGUUUAAACUUAUCCAAUCUCAAAGGCAAUGACAUUACACAUUACAUGCAUAUACAUGUAGUUGUAAUGUUCUGCUGUCUACCCUCAAACUUCCCCAGCCUAGUACCCAAUUUACUUUGUGAGAAGAAGUAGGGAGGGUGGGGGAACAGGCCUGUACGUAUGAAGACCAUGCAUUGGAAUCUCCAUUGGGCAGUUUCUCCCAUUUAGAACUUUGGGAAUACCUACAUGUGUGAUUACAGUGGUACCUCUGGUUAAGAACUUAAUUCGUUCUGGAGAACCUGAAACUGUUCUUGACCUGAGGUACCACUUUAGCUAAUGGGGCCUCCCACGGCCGCCGCCACAGCACAAUUUCUGUUCUCAUCCUGAAGCAAAGUUCUUAACCUGAGGUACUAUUUCUGGGUUAGCGGAGUCUGUAACCUGAAGCGUCUGUAACCCGAGGUACCACUGUAGAUAGUUACUGUGCUAGCAACUACCAUACCUGUUGGGAAGGGUUGAGCAAGGAAUCUUUCUUUUGCGCUCUGCAGAACUGCCUGCCUAUUCAUCCUGAUUUCAAGCUUGCCUCACUUCUACGGCACAUUAUUUUUGUAAAGAUCUGGGAUAGUCUUUUAAAGAACUCAUAAUUUCAGCCACAUGCAUGGUCUCCUUGCUAUUCUCUUGCUUGCUAGGUUCCCUGAUGUUUCAGUGAGGGCUUAAUAUCAAUACUUCCUCUUGACUCGUACUGAGAAAAAGAGAGAAUGGAGCAAAAGUAAGAGCAGCAGAAUAUGUCUGGCACAAUAUAGGGAAUAGAAGAACUAGAUUUAUAAAGCCUUUAUCAUGCUAGAACUUGUUAAUGCAAAUACUGAAUGGCCCAAAUUGUAAGCCAGCUUUUGUUCACUUUAUGUCAUUUCCGCAAUGUAACAUUCAAAAAGCUUUCUUUAUGUCCGUCCAUCCAACAUAAAAGUACAGAAUACAUUCAAUCUGUUUAUGGUUUGGAGAGGAAAGGUAUGUUCAAGGUUUAUGAGGAUAGGACCUUGAGCUUCUAGUUCUCAUCCCUGCCCUACUGAUUUACUCAAGCUUUUAUAUUAAGGCUGCCUUUAACUUGAAGUAUGAAUGUUUCUGCAGAUUUAUGUCAGACAAUGUACAGCAAUAUAUAGUAACUUGCAGUGUGAAAUGAUCAGCACUGCAAAUAUGCCCUGUUCUUCCAUCAGCUGAACAUUCUAGUCAGUGUCAUAUAGUUGCUUUAGUGCCAACUACAUGUUACAUUAAGCACUUUAAGAAACGAAAGUAUGCUUAACCCUGGGCACUUUUAUUGAAAGGAAAAGCAGGCUCUAUAUAGGUUUUUGGACUAUACAAGUGUUUGGUCUGAUCCAACAAGGCUUAAGUUCUUUUAUACGCAGCUACUCUCUGCCUCCAGGGGUUCUGUUUAUCGUGCAAAUAAUUAUCUCUCCAUCCAUUACCUAAUCAGCUCACAGGUUGUGAGUUAAACUGCUCAGGCUAGCUUAUUGCAAAACUAUAGUUAGUCCCAAGUAAGUUGGUAUGAAAUCUUAGGCGAUUGCUUUUCAUCACUAAAGUAUUGGGACCUGCUCAAAAAGGAGUGCACUGGGGAUGCUGUGCUUAUUCAUCUAAAUUAAGGAGUGGCCUAUAUCCUUAGGUGCCCCUUUUGUCUCUCCUGAAACUAGGCUGAAAUGAUCUGUAUGAUGGUCAGAUUAUACAAUAACGUUGACAUCUCCUUGGUGCAGCUUUUAGUGUUAUGAAGCACAUGUGCAUGGAUAACGUGAGGCCAUUGCCCUCACCGCUCUCUCAAAAUUCAAACUGUGGCCCUUGGUCCAAAAAGGUUGGUGAGCCCUGUUAACAGCUGAGUGCAAAUAUACAAGUCCUUACAGAACACACAUUGGAGUAUGGCAACAAUUCUAGAACUGACUUGCAGUAUGGUAAAACAAUUCACUGAACUCUGAACCGAUGCAUGAUGUUUUAUUUGUUCCAUUAUUACACAAGAAAUUUAAAAAAGAAAGGGAAUUGCAAUCUUCCUUGCUCGAGCAUUUCAAUUCAUACAUUCAAGUAUAAAUGAAGUUACUCUGGGGGGAAAGGGGGUUUAUGACCAUAUAAAAGCACCUAAACAAUUUCCACUGAUUUCCCCUCCUGCACUAGAAACUGAAGAUUGGCAGGUUUCAUACCAAGCAAGCUGUUAGCUAUCUAGUGCACUAAUGCUAACACUGACUCAUGCUUGUAGCUGUUUUCCCCGCACAUAAUAAAACAUGCCUGUAUGUGUUCAGGCAGGAAGGCAUUUCCAAGAGAAUGUAUUGAAUGCCAAGGAUUUGACCAUCUACCACUUAAGCCAUUAGGAGUUUUGCCUCUGAUUUAUUGAGGACAAGCUGGACCCAGGCAGUGAAAGUGUGAGCAAACAUCAUUUUAAAGCCAGGAAGCUCUUGAUAAGAUUUUUGUUGCUGUUCCUUGGCAUAGCUUGCUGAUUCAUUUCUUUGCAAGUGUAUCACAACCUAUCCAUCUGUGUUGAGGCAGACUGCAGCACUGGGUAUAUGUGACCAGUGCAACUGCAAAAAGUUCCCUGCCACACAUGCAUUUCAAAACAUGAAAGUAUAAAUAUAUAAAUAAGACCACCCCAUGCUCCUCCAGCCAUUAAAUGGCUACCCAAUGCUCAAAUUUGUGCUCUGGCAGACCUUCACUAAAUUGAAUUUCAGAGUUAAGAAGAAACCCAUUGAAUGCCUCUGUAUUCACCAUAGUUUAAUGCCUGCCCAUUAAAAAAAAGAAAGUAGGCACGUUUUAAAUUUUUGUGGCUGUGACAAUAUUCUUGAAAGUGCAUGAGCGGUGCUACUUAAAUCCUGUGGCUGAAUGCAGGGCCUCAAUGCUCAACACAAUUCCCUGUCCUUCUGCAUGCAUAGCUGAAGAUUGUUCAGAAUCUGGGGAAUUGUGCAAAAUUGUUGCGUUUGCAUUGUCAAUACGGGUCGCAGAAUUUGUCUUUUUCUAGAAUGUGUCUUUUUUUUAAAAAAAAAAGAUAUUUAUUAAGAGUUUACAAGUUACAGAAAAAGCAAGAGAACAAUAAAGAAUUAUACAAAACAAAACAGUGCCUUACAAUACAUCAAAAAACAACAACAAUACAAUAAAGCAACAACAAAAAAACAGAACAAAAACAUUUAAAAACACAUCCAACCUUUCCAUAUCUUUACCUUUCAUAUACUUGUUUCAUCGACCUCCUCACACCUCCCUUUUUUGUAUUCUAGUUCAAUUAGCUAUUUCAGCAAGUCCUUUCCAUCUUUCUCAAUUUUCGUUCUAAAAUUUAACUUAAGACACUCUAAUCUUAAAUUUUCCACUUUGGUCCAUUAACAAUCUAUUUUUACUUAAUUCUUUAUAACAUUUCUGCUAAAGCCAUAUAGCUUCAUUCCAGCAUCCUUCUAACAUUCAUUAAUUUUGCAAUAUUUCUGUAAAUAUACUUUAAUUUUUUUCCAAUCUUCUUCCACCGACUCUUCUCCCUGGUCCCGGAUUCUGCCAGUCAUUUCCGCCAGUUCCAUGUAGUCCAUCAGCUUCAUCUGCCAUUCUUCCCUGGUGGGUAAAUCUUGUGUCUUCCAGUGCUUUGCAAUAAGUAUUCUUGCUGCUGUUGUGGCAUACAUGAAAAAAAUUCUAUCCUUCUUUGGCACCAAUUGGCCUACCAUGCCCAGGAGAAAGGCCUCUGGUUUCUUUACAAAGGUAUAUUUAAAUACCUUUUUCAUUUCAUUAUAGAUCAUCUCCCAGAAUGCCUUAAUCUUUGGGCAUGUCCACCAAAGGUGAAAGAAUGUACCUUCAAUUUCAUUACAUUUCCAACAUUUAUUAUCGGGCAAAUGGUAGAUUUUUGCAAGCUUGACUGGUGUUAUGUACCACCUGUAAAUCAUUUUCAUUAAAUUCUCUUUUAAGGCGUUAUAUGCCGUAAACUUCAUACCAGUGGUCCAUAACUGUUCCCAGUUUCUAGAAUGUGUCUUAAGGGCUUUGCUGUUUUUAAAACUUAGAAUACAUGCAGCAAAGAUGAGUAUGCUGAUCUGAGACCAUGCAGGAGCCUGAACUCUUCAUGCGUUUCAUAACCUACUUUAAAGUUCAGAAUGCCCCAGAUAUAAAGUUCAAAAAAUGUCUUCUGGGGCAACGUUCUAUAUCUGUGCUUGGAAAGGAUUGCUGUUUCUACAGCUAUUACCUGAACAAUACUAACAACAAUAGAUGAGGGAGCUAUUUAUUUCCUUGGAAGGACGCAAAGACUACCAAAGUGAAAAUUUCCUGUUUUUGAAUGCUUCUGAAAAGUGGAGAAUGUUGAUUACUAUGACAGCCGUAAGGAAUAUGCAGAUGUUGCUGGAGAUGUGUCAUUUGCACAAUAAUCCAAUAAACAAUUGGUGUUUUGAAGCCUAUUGUUUACAAUUAAGCAAGUCUUGCCUGAAUGGGAGUAUCAAGGACGUUCUGUCCUGAACCUAACAUACUAACUGAAUUUUUGCUCAUUUAAAGAUGUUUAAUAAGCAAAUUUAUUAUAUAGAAAACAGAAAACUACAGAAUUAUAGAGCUUGGCUGUAACAUACAAGCAACAAGGCAUAUUCAACAACAGAAACAUUCUGGUCCUAAAUUAUCAAUAGGAAACUCAUUCUCUGGUUGCCUAUCCUUACGUAGCCCAAAGAGUACCAUCAUUUCAAUCGAUAAGAAGAAGGUAUCAGAUUGGAGUGAACCCUAAUGUUUGCAGUUAAGAAAAAAGAGGGAACCCUAAGGGAGACCCCCCCAAAAAACCCAGCCCAUUAUAAACAUAGAAAUCUGUCUUAUACCGAAUCAGACUACUGGUAUACAGGCAACAAUCAAUUUGUAUGGGGCUUAGAUUCCUGAUCCCCUUAUGCAUUGGUGGUGCAUGCAUAAGUUUCACUCCGCCCCAUUCCGCUCCAUUCCGUCUCCCAUUCUGCCCCCUUUGCCAGCCACUUCCGGAUCACCACGAUGUGCAUGUGUGUGGUCAUGCAUGAAUCAGUCGUUGCCUG
RNAcentral lists this long non-coding RNA (8117 nucleotides) under Podarcis lilfordi (Lilford's wall lizard). The record is from RNAcentral. Lineage: Eukaryota; Metazoa; Chordata; Lepidosauria; Squamata; Lacertidae.